This 616-nucleotide ribosomal RNA is filed under the name uncultured Glomeromycotina. RNAcentral's name for it is "eukaryotic LSU rRNA". It matches the Rfam family "Eukaryotic large subunit ribosomal RNA", at positions 293 to 766 of the family's 3401-position model. Lineage: Eukaryota; Fungi; Glomeromycota. The record is from RNAcentral.
UGGGAGGUAAAUUUCUCCUAAGGCUAAAUAACGGCGAGAGACCGAUAGCGAACAAGUACCGUGAGGGAAAGAUGAAAAGAACUUUGAAAAGAGAGUUAAACAGUACGUGAAAUUGUUGAAAGGGAAACGAUUGAAGCCAGUCGUACCUUCGGGUAAUCAGCCGUUCGGGUGUGAUUCUGUGGAGUUUGAGGAGCUUAACACCUUCAUGCUUUGCAUAUUCGUGCUCUUGGGUGUACUUGCCCGUGUGGUUGGUUAACAUCAAUUUCGGGCACCAUAAAAUGGCUGGAGGAAUGUAGCUUCGAUCUUGUAUUGAAGUGUUAUAGCCUUCGGUAGAUGUGGUGAUCGAGAUUGAGGAUUGCAACGGAUACCUUUCGGGGCUACCUGUCUGAUCUCUGAUCGUUGUUUUGGUGCUGAAAGCGUGCUUAUAGUUAUCAAAGUCGAUGGUCAAUAGGUUAGAAUGGGUUAAAUUCGUUAAGGAUGUUGACGUAAUGGCUUUAAACGACCCGUCUUGAAACACGGACCAAGGAGUCUAACAUAUAUGCGAGUGUUAGGGUAAUUAAACCCUUACGCGUAAUGAAAGUAAUUUUGGUGGGAACAUUUUUGUGCACCAUCGACC